Molecule: transfer RNA, 74 nt
Filed under: Halobacteriales archaeon
Lineage: Archaea; Methanobacteriati; Methanobacteriota; Halobacteria; Halobacteriales
Also listed under: 1 other name
Description: tRNA-Ile
Rfam family: tRNA
About the family: Transfer RNA (tRNA) molecules are approximately 80 nucleotides in length. Their secondary structure includes four short double-helical elements and three loops (D, anti-codon, and T loops). Further hydrogen bonds mediate the characteristic L-shaped molecular structure. tRNAs have two regions of fundamental functional importance: the anti-codon, which is responsible for specific mRNA codon recognition, and the 3' end, to which the tRNAs corresponding amino acid is attached (by aminoacyl-tRNA synthetases). tRNAs cope with the degeneracy of the genetic code in two manners: having more than one tRNA (with a specific anti-codon) for a particular amino acid; and 'wobble' base-pairing, i.e. permitting non-standard base-pairing at the 3rd anti-codon position.
Source: RNAcentral
GGGCCCAUAGCUUAACCAGGUAGAGCGCCACUCUGAUAAGGUGGAGGUUCUCGGUUCAAAUCCGAGUGGGCCCA